This is a non-coding RNA of Rattus norvegicus (Norway rat), 16284 nucleotides long. The record is from RefSeq and is a predicted model, not a curated record. Lineage: Eukaryota; Metazoa; Chordata; Mammalia; Rodentia; Muridae.
CCUGUGUUUUAGAGGGAAAAUGAAUGAUGAACGUUAUACAAGCGGAGAUGUUACUCUUAAAAGCAGUGAUGAUGGCUUAGAGUAGGUUAGCUUUACGACGGGUUCUGUGUCCCAAGAAAGACAACUACAGGUCAGAUCAGGCGGGCUGACUGGCAAGGCAUUUGUAGUAUUUUUACUGGAGAGACUAUUUAGAAGUCACACUACUAUCCCUUUACAGAUGAGAAAACCCGGAAGUCUCAUAAUGGUAGAGCCAGGAUGAGAAUCCGGGCCCCAGUGGUUCCUGAGCGAAAGUUCCCAUGCCCUGGUUUAUAAAAUCAGCUUAAGACUGUGAGGCAUCAGCAUUUGAAGAUAACGGCUUACUAAAUAAUUUAUUCAGCUGUUUAUCUCCAUUUAAGAUCUAGUACGCUUCUGUGUCCUUACUUUUUGGGUGGAAAAAAAACAAAACAAAACAAAACAAAAAAAAGCACACACCACAGAAUAGAUCCUAAGGAAUGGGUACAGAAAAAGCAGCUUCUCAAAGUAUGCAUGUAGGCUACAGUGAACCAGGGAUAGAGCAAUCCCAGAAGAUAAAAAGCCAAAGGCCACAAGAGAGACGUUAGUGAUCUGACUCUAUGUGUGUGGCAUGCUAGGGACAGUUUUCAUAAAGGUCCUGGGAUAAAGCACUUGGAUAAUAGACAAGCCUAAUACCACAGGAGAAAGGAAGAAGGAAGGAAGGAAGGAAGGAAGGAAGGAAAAAAGAAAGGAAGAAAGAAAGGAAGAAAGAAAGAAAGGGAGAAAGAAACAAAAACCCACAUUAGGGAAGGGAAGAGCUGACUGGGUUCACAGAGUCUUACAGGAAGCAGGCCCAUGAAGAACAUAUUUAACAAGAAAAAUUAAUUUAAGGGUUAUGUGUCACAGGUAGCUUGUAACUCUUGGACUUCCUGGUCUCAGCAGUAAACACCAGAAGUUAACCAUGACUGAGGAUCUAUUGUUCUAGAAUACUUCUCUGGAAGACAUUAUGGAAUUGCUUUUAGUUUUGUAAACACUAGCUGGCUAUACAGAUAAGUUUGUCAUUAGCAAGCAUUCAAAAGACACCCUGAUAGGCAGUCCUGGCAAUCGCAGUCAAGCCUUGUGUGGCACUUUGUAGUACGGAACUGUCUCGAGUGACAUUUUCCUGUUUUAUCCCACAUACUGAUGUUGGCUAGUGAGGCUCAUCGAAAGGAACGGUUAAGAGCAAGGCAGAUGAUUUAGUUACAAUGCAAUUUAAGAACAUACACAGCUGGCAGCUAAAUUUCUCUUCUGUCUCGGUCUGUGCGGAGUCUUUCUGGUGAGUGGUAGGUAGGUUCAAGCCAAGCCAAUAGGACCCUCGUCCCCAUACUGUGAGCAGACCGUUGAUGAAUCAGAACAGUAGUUUUACAAUUAGCUGAAUAUUUGGUGAUCACUUUGGCUGAUGGGAGAAAUAUGGACGCAGACUUGUCAGUGACACAUCUGGAGGACCCUUGGUAGCAACAGUGUCACUCUUUCUAUGAUGACUGCAUUGUGCUUGUGGGCUCAAUGAAAUGCCCACAGAGGAAUGUUACAUAUGUCAGUAUUACAUAGGAACAUAUUGAGCGGUAUCAAAUAACACGAACGUUUAGAUUAUUAGGUUUUGUAUUUUGGCAUUCCCACUUUCUACUUUGUAACACAUAUAGAAGCUUCAGAUCCUAAUUGGAUACUGUAGAUAGCUGUGAGUAGAACAUUAGAGAAAAAACAUUUAAAGAAUGCACACCAGUUAGGAGUACCUUCUUUGGUAGGAGGAGUUCUGAUUCUCUAUAUACAAUGUAUUUUUUUUAAAUGUAACAAAGAUGUAUUACUUAAGUUCUACUUAACACCAGGUUGCCCAUCUUUGCCCUGGAAUCUUUGAACUGCAUUUUAUUUCAUGUAUCUCUGUGUGUGCCGAAGUGUAUCUAUGUCCACUGUGUGUAUGCAGGAGCCUUCAGACAUAAGAGGUGUCUAAUCCCCUGGACCUAGAGGUACAGAUGGCUGUAAGCUGCCACAUGGGUGCUGGGAACUGAACCAUGGUCCCUGAAAGAGCAGCAAGCACUCUUAACUUCCAGAUGUUGUAUCUCUAGCCCUUUCCACUGUCUCAACCUCUUCUUCUUCUUCCUCUCCCUCUCUCCCCCCUCCCUUAAUUACUAUUUCUAUUUAUACAAUCAGCACAGGGCAAAAAAAUGGGCUGGGAAAGGAAGCCAGGACAUUCGAUUUGACAACAGGCUCUCUGAGUUUUGACAGGAGCCUGCAGAUAGGAAACUUGGGUUGAAGAGAAGAAAACAGUGGAAGGAAGCUUCAGGAACCUAAGGAACCACAUUUCUAUCCCAGGAAGCUCUCCGAGCAAGGAAACUGGAGGCAGGGGCUAAAUUCAUAGUCAACACCACUGCAAUGCCGGUGUGUGUGGUGCCCCAAACCCAAUUACUUACCAAACUGGUUAGUCCUGCAGUGUCUCAGGGUUCGGACAGUAUCUGCGAUCAUGUGCUGAAAGACAGGGGGAGAACACAGAAAUGGAAGGGUCAUUUACUGAUGCCACAGAACCUGCUGGGAUGAGUAGUAGUCUAACCCCUCUGGGUAUAAAGCAAAGAGCUCAACUUGGAGCUGGACAUGACUUUGAUUGAUAGAAUGAAGCUUGAAUUACUCAAGACUGUUGAGCUUGUGACUGCAAGAAGAGUAACUCCUGAAGAGCCAAGGUAGCCUGAACCACAGGGGGACGUGCUAACUUUGGGGCUCCCUGUUUCCCAUCCACAUGUUGCCUGUGUUUCCUCUGCUGGUGAGGUGUUGCCUUUUUGAGACCUCCCUUCUCUGGAAAACAGCACAUUCUGGGUUACUGUCAUUGCUGGGACUUCGCCUUCCUCCUAAUCAGGAACCACCAGAGGGCUUCGCCCACUCAGAACACUGCCCCCAGUUUCUACAGGGCUGGGGAUCAAACCCAGGGACUCUGGAGGGCCCAGCUGGCAACUCUACCAACUGAAUCGCACCCAUGGCUCACAUGCACGUUUUGAAGGGAGGCAGAAAGGUCUGUGGAUUCAAGGGCUCCAAGGACAGCAGGGUGUGACGUAUUCACGAAAGCAGAGUGUCUUCAUCAGCAUUUUACAAAGGCUGUUUCGUUUCUUUCUCACAUUUCCUUACUGGCUUUAGUAUCCUAACUUAGUUUCCGUCCUUUAGCUCCUCACUGAUCUCCAGAUGAAGGUUGUCUUAAAUGCUCACCUUUUGGGGGAUGGGGUGGAGACCAUGCUUACGUCUUAUGCAUAUCAGACAAGUAAGUGUUCUACCAUUGAGGCACCACAGCCCCCAGACCCCUUUUGUUUUUAAAAUUUCUAGCGAGUACCUCACCUGCUGCCCAGGUUGGCCUAGAACCUCUGAUCUUCCUGCCUCAGCCUCCUGUGCAGCUGGGGUUACAGACCCCCCAGGCCUGAGCACAGCAGGGUCCAUAUCUCUCAUAUUCAAUCCCUAUAAUUAGUCCUUUGCCUCACUCUGCUACGUUUACUUCUCCAUAAUGGUCUUUGGAAGAAACCCAUCUCCACUAUGGAAAGCUUCUCCUACACGGCUGCCAGAAUACUCUAAACCUGGUCCCAGCAGAGUUCUCCUAUUCUCUGGAGGACGACAGAAACUCCUCGCCUUGUUUCAUAUCAAACCCCAGAUAUCCCAUUAUUCGAGGAUUAACAUUCAUUAUCUGGUCCUCCAAGCACCGUCGUCACUACGUGCCUGCACAGGCCAGACACUGAAGCAUCCGCAGACGAGGAGCGGUCAGUAAAUUAUCACUGAGAGAAUAAUGUCAACCCUCAAAUCUUCUCACUUACAACGGAAAGACAGAGGCCGUCCUCAAACCGACAGUCUGAUUAAAUUAUCCCGGCUGCAGCUGGGCUAAUUUCGAUGCUUUUUCCAGAGUAGAGAAUUCAGCAGGGGUAAUGAUUACAGUAGCACUCCAGGCGGAAUUUGCAAAGGAAAUGGGACCUGACUCACGUCUGUGUGAACGCAUUGUUACAUUUCCUUCCCCACACUCUACCCCAAUUCCCAGGACAGAUUUUUCCAUUGUUACAGUCUGUGGCGUCACGCUGAUUCCUAUCCUGUGCCAUUUGUGAAGCCCCAGAAAGGCUGGCGCUGAUGUAAGGCUCAAUGCUGUGGGCAGCACUGAAACCUGAAUCCUGAUUCUCAUCUCCCGGUUUCCUGACAGGGAGGGAGGUGGACACGGUGAAAGAUCCUGCUCAUAAUAUUGGGGGGGUGAAAAGAAAAGGAGAGACCCCUUUGCUCUUUCAACAUUUCAUAGUUUGAGGUGGGGACAUUUACAGUCGCUGAGACAGCAAGGAACUUAGCCCAGGGAACAAUGGGAAUCUUACUGCAGUCAAUGAGCGCUUUGAUCUGCAUGUGGUCCCGAUUUAAUGUGCUGGCCUGUGUCAGCCAGAUAAAGAUAACACCCUGAGUUAUCUGCUGACUGGCUUAAAUUAACAUCCACCACGAGGAGUUGGCUCCUCAUCAGCUAAUUCACUUAGGUCCCAGCGGUUCAUUAUUGUGAAAGAUGAUCCUGCUUUAGCUUCAAUGAAACCUCGUCCUUCGCUGAGUGACAUCCUCUAAGAAUACUGUCUCUGUGAAGAUGUUCCAGCUCUUGAGUGGGAUACUAGCCUGAGUAUGAUUUAAAACUGAUUUUUAGACAAAAAAAGAUUCUGAAAAAAAAAGUCUGAUUGCAUCUGUGUUUUCCACAAAGAUAUGUCAACUCAAGGCAUGCUGAGCUUGAAAUGUCACUUGCUGUAAGGACCAGGCCACCGCUAUCACACUUUCCCCUCUUUAGAAAUAGUAUACCAGGGCUGGGAGAAUGGCAUGGUGCCUAAGAGCAUUUGCAGUGCAAGCCUGAGGGCUGAACCCAUAUAAAAAGUUUGUCAUCGCUGUGUGUGCUUGUAAGUUCAGCACUGGGGAGCAGAGACAGGGGGAUGGCUGGGGAUUACUGACCAUCAGCUUAGCUCCAGGUUCAGUGAGAGGCCCUCACAUAGACACACGUGUACACACAGACAUACAUGCAUGCAUGCAUGCACAAACAUACACAUAUAUACACACAUGCACACACACAUACACAUGCACACACAUUGACACACAUGCAUUCAAGACAUACACAUAUAGACACAUGUACACACAGACACACAUGCAUGCAUACAUGCAUACACACACACACAUACACACACAGAUGUACAGACAAAACCUGUCUGCAUCUCUACACCCCAGAAUAACCAGUCAUGAAAACAAACAUCUUCAGAGUUGCUAAGGGCUGUUAUACAGGGUGGUUGGAAGAUGUCUGCUUUUUGAGAGAGUCUGGAAGCUAGGCUCUGAGGCAUUGUGGGGGAGCUAGCUUCACUCUUCCUGUGGGCCUAAGCCCUUGUGUCCUGGGGACCUUACGUCUAGAACAGAGUGGUAAAUGAUAAAAUGUCAGACUUGAGGCAUCAUUUGGAGACCAGUCCUUAAACAUUUCCACACAGGAUAUGAUCUGGGGCCUCAGCCUCAACUGACCUUCUCUGAAGCCUGACUUGAGUCUCACAGGGAGCUUGGAUGGCUCCCAAAAGUGUUCAUACAGUCCAUUAUCAUCACUGAAAAGGUCACUCAAAGGGCAGGUUCCUAGAGAGGAGUGCUGGGGUCACGUCGGACCGUGAUGUAACAUUUCGUCUGUGACACUAAAGGUCAUCUGUCAGACAGGUGCCUUCCUCUGGUCCCUGAGCUGUCUCUUUGCUGUGGAGCACCCACCCAGUCCCACUCAGUUCUGUGGGUAGCUUCUUUUGGCUCCAGAACAGAACAGUCUGAAGAGUCCACUGAGGACUGCUACUGUCCUAGAAGGGUGACUUGGGAGAAGCUUCUCAGGAAUUCUUACAAGAGGCCUGACCAGGUCUCUGUAUCCAUCAGCAGGGAGGUCCUGCAUCAGAGGCUAAUAAGGAGGUGGUCUUUCCCCUCACUUGUAGAACCCACAAAUCUCGGGUACAUAUCCAAGCUUGGGGUACUAGCAGAUAGACAGGUCCAUCUGGAGGAUUUUAGGGCUGUCUCAAAGUGGUUUACACUGGGGCAUCAAAAGACGCUUUUGAAGCAAUCAAACUUUCAAGAGAGGGAACUGUUCAUGCCCCGUUCUGUGUUUACAUAGUCACUGGUGCUAAGCUAGUGAAAUGCUAUUUAGAAGAAUAAGAUUCUCAGAACCUCGCUGGCAUAAUAAUGGCACUGUUCCAUACGUCCAAGGAGACCCUGGGAGUCACUCUGUGUAUAACAGGGAAACAUAGUCAGACCAUUUGCUCCCUGAAGCUGGAGACACAAUCGUGUUUUCCUCUACAGAAAGAAGAAAGGAGACAUAGUGAAACUUACUUACCAGCUUUUCAAAAUUGACAAGAUUAUCCAGGAAUGUUUUAUUUCCUUCAUGAAUAAAUGUUACAUCUGAAAAUCAAGGACAAGAUAACGUGCUAUUAGGAAGAUGUCAUGAGACAACAGAGUUUGUUUAGAAACCAUGCAAUUCAUCAUGUUUUUGCUUCAGUGUUUUGGAAUUAUGCCAUGUAUUUGACAAGGCAGCAGCUUGAAGCUAAAACUGUAAAACAUUUGAUAUAAAAGUUGAGAUGGCGGUAUAGACUUCCUGAAAUAUUUUGCACUUAAAGUUGGUUUUAGCCUGCAUGACUGAAGCUAAUGGUAUAUCUUGUAACUUAAUUUGUCCAUUAUGUUUUUUAGGUCAAAAUACCGAGCAGAAAAACAAAUGAAUGUUCAUAAAUAACAGGGACUUAAUGCUUGUUAUAUUUGCUUUAAAAAAAAUAAUCCCUGCCAGCGAAUACAAAUGGGGUUGCUUUAUUUAAAACAGUUAAGAUUCAGAGAUUUUCAAGUUCCCAUCAAAAACACGCAGAAGUUAAAAAGCCUGUGGAAAAAGGUCAGGAUGUUGGCCCCAUUUAACUGGUACAGAGACAGCAUCGCUGACGGGCUAAAACAGGAAAGGUAGCAGGAUAAAGGGUGAGGUUGGUUUUUUUUUUUUUUCUUUUUGGAAAAGUAAAAGUUAACUUUGGUUUGAGACUCACUAGAUUUAAAGUAACUAAGGAAUUGGGGUCCAGUUCAGUAGCUGAGCCUGAGUUCAGUGUUGAGGGCCCGGGUCUUACCCACCAUGACCCACCACCCACAGAAGUGACUGAGGAUGCUGAGAGUUUUUGUCGGAAAGAGUUGAAGACUGGGGAUGAGACACAUUAAGCAGCACCUAAGGCUCUGAGAACUCCUGGCGUACAAACAUGGACGACACAGUAUAUGAUAGAACCCUCAGCGUCGAUGGCACAGACGAGGAUCACAAUGCAAAUUAUCCCACGUCAAUAUCCCUGCUGUCGUCAACAACAGAUCAAACCCACCAGACAGAGAGAAACAGAUCCAGUCUAAGCUGCUUAGACAGGUGCUGCCGAAACCUGCCUAUAAAACUCCGAGCUUGUGCUGCCAGGGCCUGCAAGAAGGCAACAUGCACUGCGUGAAACACUGCCCUCAAGGUGUCCCUUGCACACAGUAUGGCUUGAUGUGGCGGCAGGAGCUUCUCGUCCUGCAGGUUCCAUACAGCUCUACCAUAGAGGAUGACCUUGUUCCUGCCCUACCUGGCCCACCUGGCCACCCCUUGGGAGUGCUGGGAUUUUAGGCCUGCACCCCACGGCAGGUUUACACACUGCACCCCAUGGCAGGUUUAUGCACUGCUGAGAAUUGAAGGCCUCCUGCAUGCCAGUCAAGAGCUCAACCAACCAAGUUAUACCAUCAGCUGUCAUCUUAUUUUCCUUUAGAAAUGAUUUCGGACAAAGACCAAAGCUUUAAAUAAAAGGUAAGAUUGAUGUUGUCUAACUUUAGUACUUACAUAAAAAACGAACAACUAAGAAAAAGUAAGUGCUUAUUUAAAGCCGAAGGGGUUUCAAGUGAAAAGAAAAAUGCGUUUGAUCUACUGCUUCAUCUGGAAUGAGUGGGUAUAUUUUCAACGGAAAAGAAGGAAAUUUGUUUGGCUAUUGAUAAAAAGGUCUAAACCAAUCAGGGCAGAAAACUGCAUGCAAGCUCAGGUGCGUGAGCACCUUGACUGCAUGAGGGUUUGGAAAGAAAAUGCUAAGGAGACUGGGGUGGGGUGGAGGGGUGCGUGGAGGUAGGAAGCAUGGACACAGACAGACAGACACACACAGACACAGACACGCACACACACACACACUUAUGAGUUAAAGGGACACUGUAAGAGAAGUCAGUGUCUUACAAGCAUUUAUUGCUUUUAUUUUUCAUAUUAAAAAUCAAUUCCUUUCCCACAUAUUUUUCUCAUUUUCUACUGUCCCCAUUAUGUUUAAAUCAUUCCAGGGUUACUCUCUACCUAGGGCUCCAGCUGAAGGCAUUGUGCUUGCAGUGAGAACUGUGAGCUUUCAUAACUCUACCUUAAAGCAAACGAGAACAAAAAGAGACAAAGAAAAGGAAGGGAGGGAGGGAGGAAGAAAGGAAGGCAGGCAGGCAAGGAAACAAAGCUUUAAACUGUAAUUUUGGCAUUUUGGUCUCUCCUUGCUCUUCCCACUUGGUUUCUGAACAGGUCCUGCGGGCUGAACGGAUUAUGCUGCGUAUCCCUCAGGUGAAUGAGCUGUGCUCUGCCUCCCUCGGUUGUCCAAAUGCUGUUUCCCUUUCACAGCAGCUCUGGCUUCACCCGAGAUGAAGACUAAUGUGUGUGUUCAGAGAGGCACAGACAGUGCAGUCCUCCAGGACAAGCAGAAGAGGAAAUGAAUGCCAGCUUAACUGGGAUGGAAGUUGGGGAGUAGAGAAUGAGAGGCCAGUCGGCAAUGCAACUCCUUUCCAGAAUCACUUAUGAGGCCAGUCAAUGGGGCCUGGUUCUGCAAACAGUAUCUGAGAGGCAGAGGUCUGUCCGAUGAAGGCAUAUUUCUAUAAAACCCCUUGAAACAAUUAAAAUGUGGCCAAGGGGGGUUGGGGAUUUAGCUCAGUGGUAGAGCGCUUGCCUAGGAAGCGCAAGGCCCUGGGUUCGGUCCCCAGCUCCAAAAAAAAAAAAAAAGAACCAAAAAAAAAAAAAAAUGUGGCCAAGGAAAAUUCUCCCAAUUGCCUUUCCCUGGGGAGCACGGAAGGUCAGGAGUCCAGGCCAGAUUCCCUCCCAGUGAUGCCCUGACUGACAGAUCACUGAGCCAUCAGCAAGUGGAACUGACAGGUUUCAUAUGACCUGUGCAUGCUCAGCAGACAAGAGCUCUGUGGUCAAGGUAGGGCUUCUCAGACACCAGCUAAGCCCCAAUUCUUGGAGACGGAAAGGACACUUUCAAGCAGCAGUUUUCCUGUGCUGCAUAACUUUCUGUUGAACGGCAUGACCUCUCACACACAGUACACGGAGUGCGGCCAUCACUGAAACUUGGAUGCAGACAAUUGCUUGCUCUUUGGACCCCACACUAGCCUUGUUCUUGAUUAAGUAUUUCACCGUAUUAAAGAAAAUAAUACAUGAUUUAGAAACAAAGCCAUUUAAACCACAAAUUUCUGGUGACAGUGCUUUGACACUGCUCAAGUACAAGUAAGCAUUCCAUACAUUUAAAAAACAAAACCAAAAAACAAACAAAUAAAAAAACCCUGGGGGGGCUGGGGAUUUAGCUCAGUGGUAGAGUGCUUACCUAGGAAGCGCAAGGCCCUGGGUUCGGUCCCCAGCUCCGAAAAAAAAAAAAAAACAACCCUGGGAAUUUAAACAACAAUUCCAUGCAAAACAUGGAUGUAUGAAAGUUGAGGCUACUAUAAGAUAUUAACUGAGAGAUCUGUUAUUUUCUGCUGUAGUUAGAAAGGAAAUAUUUCUAGAGGACAGCAUGGCAUACUGUACCAGAGAGGACAUCAUUACCUUUAAGCAGUAAGGGCAUGAAAGGGAUUUUUGGCGGCUUCAUCUUUUUGAAUGCAUCCCUGUAGGCCUUGUGGUUUAGGGAAGGAUCCUGCCAACCAAGCAGAUCACAAAGGGAAAGAAAAAUCAAUGUCCCAUAAAAGCAAUUCUCAAUCUACAUUAGUUGUACAAUACCAACAUGAUGAGAUACAGAAAGAUUCUUCCUAGGGAUGAAGUGGAUAAAGGUUCCCUUGGAGAAUAAACCCACUAAUUAGGGUUAGGAAUCUAGGCAAUAUGCGGAAUUCAAGUUGGUUUAUGAUAAUGGGAGGCAACGGCAAAGGAGGCAGACACCUUUUGAUUGCCCUAUCGUUUUGCCCAGACAGGUUCUUCAAGUGCAGUCUCCUCUGCAUAAUUUCUACCGGGAGGUGACCUCAAAGUCUUUUGUUAAGCACACAGCAAAGGGAAACUGCCUUUAGAACACAAAGACAAUGCCAAAAUCUAAAGACUAGCUACAGAUCUAGCAUAUGAAACCUCAGAAGCAGUAACAGAAGGAGGAGAGAUUAAUGCAUAUCACGCUAAUUAUUCACUGAAUUCAUAACAAUUAGUGUCAUGUUGUGAACUGGAAAAUGGCCUGUGAAAAUUCAUAUGGAUUUCACAGACAGACAAGGCAGCAUUAAUGGCCACCAUGUUUCAUUCCUUACCUAUAUCUAUCAUCUGUCAGUCUGUCUGUCUGUCUCUCAUCUCUCCAUCUACAUACCUACUUACCUCUAUCAUUUAUCCUUCUCUUUAAGUUAAAAAUAUUUGAAAUUAUAUAAUUUCUUCCCUCCUCUUCUCCCUCUAACACCUCUCUUGUACCUGCCCCCUUGUUCUCUAUCAAAUUCAUGCCUUCUUCUCUCUCUCUCUCUCUCUCUCUCUCUCUCUCUCUAUAUAUAUAUAUAUAUAUAUAUAUAUAUAAUAUGUAUAUAAUAUUAUGUAUAUAUUCUUCAAUAUAUAAAUAUAACCUGCUCUAUCUGCAUAAUGUCCCUUAAAUGCAUAUGAAUUUAGGGCUGAUCACUUGGCAUUGGACAACCAAUUGAGGGGUUCUUCCCUUGGGGAGACCACUGACUAUCUCUCAGUAUUCUUUAGCUGUCUGUAGUUCUUUGUGUAGAGUUGGGGCCCUGUAAGAUUUCCCCUUUCCACAUUAGCUUCUCUUUGCACCAUUUAUUUCUAAGAUAAGGUCUUAUUUCAUAGUCCAGGCUGGCCUGGAACUUGUAAUCCUUCAACCUCAUCUCCCCAAAGACCUAGGAUUCUAUCACCACGCCCAGCUUAAAACUGUACUUUUAGAUCAAGUAAUCAGUCUAGGCUUUGAUAUCACAAACAGUUCUUGAACCCAGAAGGAAAUAGCACUAACAUUAAUUUGAAGAAUAAGUCUCCUUUACUUACCGUUAAACUCUCAAGUUCAGAGAAAAGUUUCUUAAACUUCCCAGGAAUUUUCUAAAAAGGUGAGAAAACCAAACACCACAAUGAGAAACCACAUGGGUCACAGAAAGUGGCUAUGCUGAGAAGGGGCCCUAAGGGAUGUUUGCAUCGAGUUCUGCUUAGUCACCAACACAUUUCUGAGCAUCGGUCCCUGUCGUGGGGCUCUGCCCUGAUUCCAUCUCAUUAUGCAAUCUCCAUCAUCCACUCAAUAUGCCCGUGGUUAGGCAUGUGGCUAAAAAUAUCCUGGCAGCCACAGGAUAAAGGAAUCUAGCUGGCUAGACCGUCUACACACUGGUGGUUAUUUAAUAGACACUUAGGUUCCAGUUCUAUAUCAUCUCUAGUGAACGUGCUCAUCUAUCUCAUGGUCUACCGAGUGGGAGAUAACCACGUUGGCCGACUGGUUUCUAUAUAAAUGGCUUUGCUCGACUGCACAGCAGAAGCGAGAUAAUAAAAGAUGGUGAAGACCACAGGUGAUGCCCCUUGCACCUUAGCAAACGGAAUCACUGAAUCUGAGUGCAAUAGGAGGCUUAUAAAAUGACAGAAGACAGAAAUGUGUGGCUGCGCCAUCCUCCCAGGUCAAACCGCAGGCUCCAUGAACACCCGGAAAUGUGACAGAACGCCUUUAACGCUAACAGGAGGAAAUGUGGAUCCUUUCUUAACACCUUAGUGGCCUGUUGUAGAAAGCUGACCUAACCAAGGCACCCUCUCUGGCCUCGACUUUCAGCAAAUGUCCAUGGUUGCUGGUUAACAGAUCAUUAGCAUUAUCAACAAGGUUCAAGAUAUACCAGACGGUUUUUCAAACCAAAUCAAAAGAAUGGUGAUAACUUUUCAACAAUUAAACUUUAAAACUACCCAAAUUUUCCAAUGUGAUAAUUUUCACAUGACUCAGCUCUCCCACAGUAAGCAGCCAAAUCUACCUGGAAAUAACUUAUCUGCAACAAAUAAAAUAUAAAAUGCAGACUCUUUCAAUUAUUUCCAAUCUUUCCGCUGAGCUGUAUCUCAGUCUGUCCAACGUCUCAAUGAACGUCCCAGGGGCACCUAAAACUCAGUGUGCUUCGAAUCAAACUGGCUUAGCCAGAGGUCAGACAGGAGGCAAGUCUGACCUAGAGACUAUUUUGUAAACCUUUUACUGGAGCACUCCCACGGCCAUCGUUCAAUCAUUAACUAUGACUGAUGCAUAACAACAACAGAGACCCUAAAAUCAGCGCACCAUAACAUCUGGCUGAGCUCUGACUGCUCUUCUCAAACCUAGUUCUUUUCCUUUAUCUGAUAACACGGUCCCUUCCCUUUGACGCCGAGAUCCUGUGGUCACAUCUGCUGGGAAGCCCAGCCUCACUUCUUCCUCAACCACCAGAGCCCUGCUGCCCCGGCUUCUUAGUCUUUUCAGCUGCUCUGCUCUCCGUGGGCCUGUGAGACCUGGCUUACAGGCCCUUCACCACACAGCACUGUUCUCUGGUUGUCUUCUGUGUGGCAGCAAUGCAGUGUGGUAUGUGGGACACACAGUAGGCAGUCGAUAUGCAGAUUCAGAUUUUCAGAUCUAAUUCAAUUACUUCUGCACGUCAAAGGUUCUUUUGAGGUUUCACUCUAAUCCAUUCUGUGAAGACCCUUGACCUCCAUUUGUCUUCCUAGAGUUCUCUCCCCUCUCUUUUAAUCUUUAAUGUUCUUGGCUAUUUGGUUUGCUUAACCAGAACGGGCAACCCUUUCAUAUCUUCCUUUUGUUGGAUCCCCUUAAGGGAGAGCACUAACACCGUCCCUGGGUCAGCACAAUGCAUUCCACUGGGCACAGCUCCUGACUAGGAGAAUGACAGUCAACUACAGGAACAGGAGAGACCAAGGAGACCACAGUAAACUAUACAGUGGAUCAAGAAUAUUGGAGAGAGAGAUGAUGAGCAAGAGGAACUGCACAGAGCAAAGGCGGCCAUCUCUGAGAGGUGGGCCAGGAAAGCAAAAGCAAACAGAAAGAAGAAUGGGACCCAAGGGAGAGGUCUGUCUGCUGCUUCUGGAUAAUUCUAGCUCCUCUGGUUAGGUUCUUCUCACACAUCCUCCAGAGUCUAUAACGCCAACUAGACUGGCCACCUGCAUCUUGCUUUCUAUGAAUACAGAAAUUGCUCUUUAAGAAAAUUAGAGGGCUGGACAGAUGGCUCAGGGGUUAAGAGCACUGGCUGCUCUUCCAGAGGGUCCUGAGUUCAAUUCCCAGUCACUGCAAAGUGACUCACAACCAUCUGUAAUGGGAUCCAAUGCCCUCUUCUGGUGUGCCUGAAGAGAGUAACAAUGUACACACAUACAUAAAAUAAAUAACUCAAAAAAAAAAAAAAAAGGAAAAGAAAAAAGCAAGUGUGAAUGCAGAGAAAGAUACCCAUGCUCAUGUGAACACACUGAGACCUGCAAGCGGGAGGCCUUGAAGCUUAGCUUCCCCUCUGUGUGCCCUUCGCUCCACAGGCCGGAAUGAAGGAUGACAAGGCAGCAUGAAGCUAGGGCUGCCUUCAGGGAAUGCAGAAGGGCGAGGAGAAAUUUAAAACAUUUACUUAAAAAAAAAACCUUUCUCGGGGUUGGGGAUUUAGCUCAGUGGUAGAGCGCUUGCCUAGCAAGCGCAAGGCCCUGGGUUCGGUCCCCAGCUCCGAAAAAAAGAAAAAGGAAAAAAAAACCAUUCUCAUAUAUAUUAGAGAACCAUGUUAAAGAUCACCUAAAAUGCCAUUUGAUAGAAAUAGUUCCUAUCACCCUGCCACAGUCCUACUUUUUUUUUUUUUUUUUUUUUUUUUUUUUUACUGAAGCAGAAUCUGUCUGGUUUAGACCAUUUAAAUCUACUUAUUUCUAACACAGGCUCCGCCGGAGUGGUUCAUUGUGUCCCAUAUCUACACCCUCAGUCCCAGUGGGAAGCCCAAGGCUCACCUCCCAGGUCUGUGACAGCCGGCUGACAGAGGCGGUGUUGAGACCCAUCACGAUGGCAAAGAAGGAGUUUAGGUUCUGCUGGGCUUUGCAGCUGUGAAUAAAGGAGCAGAGGAGACUGAGAAAGCAUUUCUCUCAAACACUGGGCAGUUGCUGACAAAGCCACACACACUAGCCACCGUCCACCGCGUGUGUUGGUUGCCCCAACUGUUUCUAACACAGAAGAAAGGAUUUCUAGAUCCUCUCUGCCCCCCCGCCCCCGAAAAGCCUUCCGGACACUGCAGGAGACCCCUCCCCUCUAACAUUCAUUUGCGCACAAUUAUGAUUUCAGUGAUUGGGAUCUGAAAUGCCCACUUCUCUGUAUCCACCACAGACUCCUGCAGCUCCCCUCUGCUUUCAGUUCUGUGCUUUUCCUGUAUCUGGAUGUGGGCCCCUCCCACUUCACAGGUCUAAGUCCUUUCAUUCAUUCUGCCAAACUGCUCUUUGCUAACAACAAAAUGUAUCUAUCAUCUGGCUGGCUGGCUAGCCAUCUGUCCAUCUAUCCAUCCAUCCAUCUAUCCAUCCAUCCAUCCAUCCAACCAUCCAUCCAUCCAUCAUCAAGCUAUCACCUAUUAAUCUAUCAAUUAUACAUCAUCUAUUAAUCUAUCAUAUCAGUCUAUCAUUUAUCUAUAAUCUAUCAAUCAUCUAUCUCUCAUCUAUAUACUAUCAAUCAUCUAUUACCUAUAAAUUCAUAUCAAUCUACCUACCUAUCUACCUACCUACCUACCUACCUACCUACCUACCUACCUACCUACCUAUGAUGUAUCUGAGUACAUGGCAUAUAUUAUGGGACAGGGUACCACAUUUCCCUUUCAUAAAAGUAAGAAAACAAAAUGGAGCUUUCGUAAUCCCCACACUAGGGGUAGAGACAGGAGGUUCAGAAGUUCAGGAAGGUUACCUUUCACUAGUGGAAGCAUUGAAGGCCUGUGCAGAGAAACACGAGACCUCGUCUCUUAAAAAAAAAAAGAGAUUUUUCGUAGGUUUUUAAAAUUAUAGUUUUUCUGGUUGUUGAGUCCUUUGCUGGUCUCGAUUCUUCCCUGUUACAUAAAUGCUGCAGUGCGUAUCUUUCUUUUCAAACUUUUUAAUAUUUGUGACUUUUUUUCCCCAUUAGGCUUCCAGCUAUAGCACGGCGGUACAAAAGCUAUCAGCAUGGGGAGCAUUUUUUGCUUUUUGUUUAGUUCCGUUUGUUUUGAGUUGGUUCCUCAUUAUGUAGCCGGGGCUGCAUGGAACUUGUGCUAUGACUCAGACUGCCCUCAGCUUCCCAGCGAUGGGAGGCUACCACCACCGUGUCUGCCAGCUAAAGCCGAUGCCUGCCAACUGUCUUCCAAUGCUGUGACAUUUUAGUGCCAUUAGAACAAACAGGACUAUGCAGUUCAAAGUUAGGGAAAUGGCCUAGGCUGUGGCCUGGGGGUCCUGGCUACCUUGUGAACCAGAUACUGCUCUAGUCCAACUGUACCUGGACUUCUAAGUCUGGACGGAAGUUCUCUCCCCAUGAAGACAAGAGCUGGAGAGACACUGCUGCCUCCACACCUAGAGCAGAGAGGUAUCUGGGGACACAUGUCCAGCAGGCACAUCGCUACUAAGCCUCUUCUGCUACGGCUGGUGCCCAGGUCUGACCGGUUUCAGCUACCUGUCUAGGACAGCUUUUGAGACUCUCCCAUCCUUUGGCUUGGUACUGACUCCACCUGCUUCUAGCAUUCUACACUGCAGACAGCUCACACAGCCAGAAAAGGCUUGGUUUAGCUCCAUCUCUUGACAGAAUGUUUUGAAAUACCAGCUCUUCUGCUGGGGCUCUAGUCAGUAAGAAUGUCUAAGUGGAUCCAUGGUGGAGGCUGCCUCCUAGACUCUGGUGGAUCCACAGUGGAUGACAUAGGCCUGUGUGGAUUCAUGGUGAAGACACCUCCUAACCCUGAGUCCUCCCAUGCAAAGAAGGCCCUAUAGGUUGUUAUCACCGUGAACAGGGAAGCUGAUUAGGGCUGGACUACAUUAUCUACCCAUUUUUAUUUUAAUGUGUAUAGCCAGUUGCUAAUGCAUAGCAAGGCAUGCACAGAGCAGGUGCUGAAGCUGAAAAUAAAAAUGUUUAUGUAAAUGGUUAUUGUUUU